UACAGGGGGGGCAAGCGUUGUUCGGAAUUACUGGGCGUAAAGGGCUCGUAGGUGGCCGACUAAGUCAGACGUGAAAUCCCUCAGCUUAACUGGGGAACUGCGUCUGAUACUGGAUGGCUUGAGUUUGGGAGAGGGAUGCGGAAUUCCAGGUGUAGCGGUGAAAUGCGUAGAUAUCUGGAAGAACACCGGUGGCGCAAGCGGCUUGCUGGGCCAUAACUGACACUGAGGAACGAAAGCUAGGGGAGCGAAUGGG
Molecule: ribosomal RNA, 253 nt
Filed under: uncultured bacterium
Lineage: Bacteria
Description: partial 16S ribosomal RNA
Rfam family: Bacterial small subunit ribosomal RNA
Source: RNAcentral